UAGGUGCACAAGAAGAGUUGUACUAUUGGGGGUUUAUAGAAGACGAGAAAAGGAUAGAAAAGAUUCGGAAAGAUGGCUUAAGUUGUAGCUACUCUAUACAAAAGAGGAAUCUGGUGUAAUUUUUUUUUAUUUAAUGAAUAUUAUUUUAUCCGCAUAUUUUCUGUUUUGGUUUUACUUUCUUUUGUGAUUGUAUCAACUUUUGCUAAGAAGACUGGUUUAUGAUAAAAAUCCGAUUCGACGCUUCCGUUGCGGAAUUCCAACAAUCGGUACCGGAUCCACAGCAGUCGGUAUUGAAGCGGGUUGCGGAUUCACAAAAUUCGGUACCGGGCGAGUACUGGAUUCCCAACAAAAUACAACAGUAAAGUGUUGCACUUUACUAAAAUGAAACUUUGAAACUAUAAUACGACAAAGGGCAGAUUUGAUAGUUCAGUACGAUCAAUUCUAGAAGUCACGUUUCGUAUGUGGUUUGCAAUUUGGUAUAGUUGUUUGGUUUCUUCUGCUUAUCCCAUUUUGACAUAUGUAAAGAAAUUAGGAUUAAUUUCAUUUAUACACUAACAAAACUAUGAAAUAUCAUAAAUAUACUUCAAAUUUUUAAAAUUUCACAAAUACCCUCUAAAUACAAUAUUUCUUUCAUAAAUGUCCUUAAUUACUGUUACUUUUUUGCUAAGUUCCGUUAACUCAACAUUUUUUUACUUUACUUUAAAAUAU
This 708-nucleotide long non-coding RNA is filed under the name Ananas comosus (pineapple). RNAcentral describes it as "long non-coding RNA (ACOM_LNC032503)". The record is from RNAcentral. Lineage: Eukaryota; Viridiplantae; Streptophyta; Magnoliopsida; Poales; Bromeliaceae.